UUCCACCCAAUCUGACUGUUCCACAGGAAAAAUCACCAUUGGUCACCAGAGAAGGAGACACAAUAGAACUGCAAUGUCAAGUAACUGGCAAACCUAAACCAAUCAUCCUUUGGUCUAGAGCGGAUAAAGAAGUUGCAAUGCCUGAUGGAUCAAUGCAAAUGGAGAGUUAUGAUGGAACACUGAGGAUUGUGAAUGUAUCUAGGGAAAUGUCAGGAAUGUACAGAUGUCAGACCAGCCAAUACAAUGGAUUUAACGUGAAACCAAGGGAAGCCUUGGUGCAGCUCAUCGUUCAGUAUCCCCCUGCAGUGGAACCAGCAUUCUUGGAAAUCCGGCAAGGACAGGAUCGAAGUGUCACUAUGAGUUGCAGAGUACUGAGAGCCUAUCCAAUACGGGUGCUGACCUAUGAGUGGCGCUUGGGCAAUAAAUUAUUACGGACGGGUCAAUUUGACUCUCAGGAAUACACAGAGUACGCUGUGAAGAGUCUUUCCAAUGAAAACUAUGGGGUUUAUAACUGUAGCAUCAUAAAUGAAGCUGGAGCUGGGAGAUGCAGCUUUCUUGUUACAGGAAAGGCCUAUGCUCCAGAAUUCUAUUAUGAUACCUACAAUCCAGUAUGGCAGAACAGACACCGUGUUUAUUCUUACAGUCUACAGUGGACACAGAUGAAUCCUGAUGCAGUGGAUCGGAUUGUUGCAUACCGGUUGGGCAUCAGGCAG
RNAcentral lists this non-coding RNA (713 nucleotides) under Homo sapiens (human). The record is from RNAcentral. Lineage: Eukaryota; Metazoa; Chordata; Mammalia; Primates; Hominidae.